RNAcentral lists this ribosomal RNA (499 nucleotides) under uncultured bacterium. RNAcentral describes it as "partial 16S ribosomal RNA". It matches the Rfam family "Bacterial small subunit ribosomal RNA", at positions 28 to 507 of the family's 1533-position model. The record is from RNAcentral.
GACGAACGCUGGCGGCGUGCCUAAUACAUGCAAGUCGAGCGAAGUUUUUCUGGUGCUUGCACUAGAAAAACUUAGCGGCGAACGGGUGAGCAACACGUAAAGAACCUGCCUCAUAGACGGGGACAACUAUGGGAAACGAUAGCUAAUACCGGAUAACAGUAUUUCUCGCAUGAGAGAUAUUUAAAAGUUGGUUAUGCUAACACUAUGAGAUGGCUUUGCGGUGCAUUAGCUAGUUGGUGGGGUAAAGGCCCACCAAGGCGACGAUGCAUAGCCGACCUGAGAGGGUGAUCGGCCACACUGGGACUGAGAUACGGCCCAGACUCCUACGGGAGGCAGCAGUAGGGAAUCUUCCGCAAUGGGCGAAAGCCUGACGGAGCAACGCCGCGUGAGUGAAGAAGGAUUUCGGUUCGUAAAGCUCUGUUGUUAGGGAAGAAUGGAUGUGUAGUAACUAUACAUGUAAGAGACGGUACCUAACCAGAAAGCCACGGCUAACUACGUG